RNAcentral lists this small nuclear RNA (103 nucleotides) under Punica granatum (pomegranate). Lineage: Eukaryota; Viridiplantae; Streptophyta; Magnoliopsida; Myrtales; Lythraceae. The record is from RNAcentral.
GUCUCUUUGGAGACAUCUGAUAAAAUUGGAACGAUACAGAGAUGAUUUGCAUGGCCCCUGCACAAGGAUGACAAGCACAAAUCGAGAAAUGGUCCAAAUUUGG